Molecule: ribosomal RNA, 468 nt
Filed under: uncultured bacterium
Lineage: Bacteria
Description: partial 16S ribosomal RNA
Rfam family: Bacterial small subunit ribosomal RNA
Source: RNAcentral
GACGAACGCUGGCGGCGCGCCUAACACAUGCAAGUCGAACGGAGUCACGAGGAGCUUGCUUUUCUUGACUUAGUGGCGAACGGGUGAGUAACGCGUGAGUAACCUGCCCUGGAGUGGGGGACAACAGUUGGAAACGACUGCUAAUACCGCAUAAGCCCACGGAUCUGCAUGGAUCUGCGGGAAAAGGAUUUAUUCGCUCUAGGAUGGACUCGCGUCCAAUUAGCUAGUUGGUGAGGUAACGGCCCACCAAGGCGACGAUUGGUAGCCGGACUGAGAGGUUGAACGGCCACAUUGGGACUGAGACACGGCCCAGACUCCUACGGGAGGCAGCAGUGGGGGAUAUUGCACAAUGGGGGAAACCCUGAUGCAGCGACGCCGCGUGGAGGAAGAAGGUUUUCGGAUUGUAAACUCCUGUCGUUAGGGACGAUAAUGACGGUACCUAACAAGAAAGCACCGGCUAACUACGUG